This is a long non-coding RNA of Prunus persica (peach), 451 nucleotides long. RefSeq lists it as uncharacterized. Lineage: Eukaryota; Viridiplantae; Streptophyta; Magnoliopsida; Rosales; Rosaceae. The record is from RefSeq and is a predicted model, not a curated record. The transcript has 2 exons.
AAGAGAUAUGAGAGUCUCUUCAUUCAUUUUGGUUGCUUUUGUUUUGCUAGCUACUAACUUGGUGCAGCAAUUCAGUCUACAGGCUAAUGCAGCCAUGUUUGCAGAUAAGAGGCUGCAGAAAGUAGAAAGAAGACACAUAUUGCCAAGUCCACCACCUCCUCCCCAUCCAAAUAGGAUCACCCGUUAUUUUAGACCUCGUGUUUCCGGUGAGGCUGUGGCCCCAAUUUCUCCUUCACCGGCUGCAACAUGAGUGUCAAAAAAAAUAAAUAUAUAUAUAUAAUAAAUAAAUAAAUAAAAAUAUAUAUAUAUAAAUUAGAAUCUAAUAGUAAAACUUUGUCAGAACUUUUUGUUUUUGAUCCAGAAUUUAUAUCUCCAAUUUCCAAACGAUCCAGAAUUUCUCUCUUAAUAUCAGUACGUUUGCGUUAAGUAAUAAAUGAAUAAUUAAAAGGAA